Molecule: ribosomal RNA, 197 nt
Filed under: uncultured bacterium
Lineage: Bacteria
Description: partial 16S ribosomal RNA
Rfam family: Bacterial small subunit ribosomal RNA
Source: RNAcentral
ACUCCUACGGGAGGCAGCAGUGGGGAAUAUUGCACAAUGGGCGCAAGCCUGAUGCAGCCAUGCCGCGUGUGUGAAGAAGGCCUUCGGGUUGUAAAGCACUUUCAGCGAGGAGGAAGGGUUCAGUGUUAAUAGCACUGUUCAUUGACGUUACUCGCAGAAGAAGCACCGGCUAACUCCGUGCCAGCAGCCGCGGUAAU